GCGUCCCUCUGACUGGCAUCAGUUCUUUCUCUCCUGCGACGGAUUCGGGGUCAUUUGGGCUCAGGUUCGCUCUGCAAAAGGAAAGCGAAAGAUGGAAACAGCUCCAAAGAGGCAUCCAAAAGCUAAUGGUGAAGCAUUGUGCUAAGGGGGUUGGGGCUGAUGCAAAUGGCUGGCUCUGUGUCAAUUGCAGGACAGCCAAGUCCGGAUGGUCUCAAAACAUAUCUCCUCUUCGGAGAGACGGCCUUCCCCGGGGGCAGGGGGGUGUUACCUGCUGAGCAGAUAAUUCACAAGAAAUGUAUUGAGGUAAUAUUACUUCCUUCCCAUUUCAGCAAACUAUGAAUCUUGUAUGAAUUUAGAGAUUUGCCAACUGCCGUGUGGGCCAAGCCCUGUCACUGAGAGAAGGGCUGGGCAGGAGAGGCAGGAAGCAGCAGAGCCCCAGAUAACGGGCAGCUGGCAGCUCAGUUGUUAGAUCAGGGCCUGCUGAAGUGCCCGUAGCUCCGUGGACCCGAGCAUGGAGGGCAGUCUGAUGACUGCAGAGUGGGAGCAGGGAGCUCUGUAAAGCACUGAGCAUAAGUGGAGACAGAACCUGACAGCACGAAUGGAAGGAGCUUUCUGUGCGUGGCACUGAGAAGCAGGACCAAGCACCCGGGAGGGCCCAAAACUGUGCUGGUUGGUUCUGAUGUCGUCCUUCCAAUGCUCCAUCGGGAAUCCAGAGUCCUUCAGGAGAAACUGGAUAGACGAGACCUGAUACUUCUCUUAAGGGACACGCAUAGAAACAGUCCUUUCCAGACUUUUUCCCUUGAAAAUUAGAACUGCCAAGAUUACAAAGCCUAGAACUCCGAAUAUAGAGCCAAAGAGAAUUGCUUGGUGGUUAUCUGAAAAAGGGGAGAGGAAAACAAAUGAGAAUAUGAUAUUCUGCCUUCAGGGAGGGGAAAAAAGAAACCACUAGACUGUAGGAUUUCACCAAAAUCCCUUGUGCUAAAUGUCAGAACAGCUGGCUGAAGUCCAAUGCAAUCCAGUAAAAAAUAGUGAUAAUGUGUAAAUAAUAUUAUGAACCUACAGAGUUGAUCUACAACUUCAACGCUCACAGCUUCAACAGGAAGCUUAAAAACAUUUUUGAGAUUUUGUCUCAGCCUUCCAAAAAAAAAAAGAAAAGGAAAAAAAGGAAGAAAAAUUCCAUUUACAGAGAUCCAGGUCAGGAAAUUAAGCUUCAAGAACCUAUAGCCGUUAAUAGAAGGAGUUUGUAUCCAUACAAAGACAAGCAUAUGGCAUAUAUGAGGAGAACAAAUGCACACAAGGUAAAGACGAAUCUCUACAACAUUGUCUUCCAAAGUUACACUUUCUGGAGAGGCUAUAUGCUCGUGCCUGCUCGUGUUCCACUCGCUAAGUUUCUUUUCCGGGAGUUGUUUCUUGCUCCCUGGCUGCAUGCUGCUGUGUGAAGAGAAGCUGCUGUGGCAGUGGUAAGGCCUUGCACUUGGAUUAUAAUUGGAAGCAUAUCGGAAUAAUUAUUAGCAGAGAGUUUCCAUGGGGACUUUAAUUAAAGAAAACAAUACUGAAAGCAACACUGUUCAAGUCUAACAGUUUGAAAUUUCAAAUACAAAUUGGGAUUUUGCAAAAUCAAUGGUGGUUUUCUUUAAGUGGCUUCCACCCCGCCCUCCAGGUUUUUUCCACCUUUUUCUUAAUUACUCAUUUUAAUUUCUCCAAUUAUUGAGACAUUAACAUUUAGGGCUAUUAAC
Gavialis gangeticus (Gharial) is the source of this 1736-nucleotide long non-coding RNA. RefSeq lists it as uncharacterized. The transcript is spliced from 6 exons. The record is from RefSeq and is a predicted model, not a curated record. Lineage: Eukaryota; Metazoa; Chordata; Crocodylia; Gavialidae.